RNAcentral lists this signal recognition particle RNA (230 nucleotides) under bovine gut metagenome. Its description in RNAcentral is "Bacterial large signal recognition particle RNA". It matches the Rfam family "Bacterial large signal recognition particle RNA", at positions 3 to 227 of the family's 256-position model. Rfam says of the family: The signal recognition particle (SRP) is a universally conserved ribonucleoprotein involved in the co-translational targeting of proteins to membranes. Archaeal SRP consists of a 7S RNA and homologues of the eukaryotic SRP19 and SRP54 proteins. In most bacteria, the SRP consists of a 4.5S RNA and the Ffh protein (a homologue of the eukaryotic SRP54 protein). The record is from RNAcentral.
GCACUAGGUGGGGAGCCAGCGGUGCCCUUUACCUGCAAUCCGCUACAGCAGGGCUGAAAGUCCUUCUCGGGGCAGAUUAUGGUUGGCAGGGCUCGAUAAGGGGCGUUGAUGUUAAGGUCUCGUGCAACGGGUGGUCGUGAACCGUGUCAGGAUAGGGAUAUAGCAGCACUAAACGAUUUUCCCCGUGUGACUUGAGGGUGCUUUGACGGAGUUACCUGUCGGGUUAUCGC